AUAAUGCAAGUCGAGCGGACGGAUGGGAGCUUGCUCCCUGAAGUCAGCGGCGGACGGGUGAGUAACACGUGGGCAACCUGCCUGUAAGACUGGGAUAACUUCGGGAAACCGGAGCUAAUACCGGAUAAUGCACAACCUCUCAUGAGGCUAUGCUGAAAGAUGGUUUCGGCUAUCACUUACAGAUGGGCCCGCGGCGCAUUAGCUAGUUGGUGAGGUAACGGCUCACCAAGGCAACGAUGCGUAGCCGACCUGAGAGGGUGAUCGGCCACACUGGGACUGAGACACGGCCCAGACUCCUACGGGAGGCAGCAGUAGGGAAUCUUCCGCAAUGGACGAAAGUCUGACGGAGCAACGCCGCGUGAGUGAUGAAGGUUUUCGGAUCGUAAAACUCUGUUGUCAGGGAAGAACAAGUGCCGGAGUAACUGCCGGCACCUUGACGGUACCUGACCAGAAAGCCACGGCUAACUACGUGCCAGCAGCCGCGGUAAUACGUAGGUGGCAAGCGUUGUCCGGAAUUAUUGGGCGUAAAGCGCGCGCAGGCGGUCUCUUAAGUCUGAUGUGAAAGCCCACGGCUCAACCGUGGAGGGUCAUUGGAAACUGGGGGACUUGAGUGCAGAAGAGGAAAGUGGAAUUCCACGUGUAGCGGUGAAAUGCGUAGAGAUGUGGAGGAACACCAGUGGCGAAGGCGACUUUCUGGUCUGUAACUGACGCUGAGGCGCGAAAGCGUGGGGAGCAAACAGGAUUAGAUACCCUGGUAGUCCACGCCGUAAACGAUGAGUGCUAAGUGUUAGAGGGUUUCCGCCCUUUAGUGCUGCAGCAAACGCAUUAAGCACUCCGCCU
This 840-nucleotide ribosomal RNA is filed under the name Bacillus infantis. RNAcentral describes it as "bacterial SSU rRNA". It matches the Rfam family "Bacterial small subunit ribosomal RNA", at positions 51 to 874 of the family's 1533-position model. The record is from RNAcentral. Lineage: Bacteria; Bacillati; Bacillota; Bacilli; Caryophanales; Bacillaceae.